GAUGAACGCUGGCGGCGUGCCUAAUACAUGCAAGUCGAGCGAACGGACGAGAAGCUUGCUUCUCUGAUGUUAGCGGCGGACGGGUGAGUAACACGUGGAUAACCUACCUAUAAGACUGGGAUAACUUCGGGAAACCGGAGCUAAUCCCGGAUAAUAUUUUGAACCGCAUGGUUCAAAAGUGAAAGACGGUCUUGCUAUCACUUAUAGAUGGAUCCGCGCUGCAUUAGCUAGUUGGUAAGGUAACGGCUUACCAAGGCAACGAUGCAUAGCCGACCUGAGAGGGUGAUCGGCCACACUGGAACUGAGACACGGUCCAGACUCCUACGGGAGGCAGCAGUAGGGAAUCUUCCGCAAUGGGCGAAAGCCUGACGGAGCAACGCCGCGUGAGUGAUGAAGGUCUUCGGAUCGUAAAACUCUGUUAUUAGGGAAGAACAUAUGUGUAAGUAACUGUGCACAUCUUGACGGUACCUAAUCAGAAAGCCACGGCUAACUACGUG
RNAcentral lists this ribosomal RNA (497 nucleotides) under uncultured bacterium. RNAcentral's name for it is "partial 16S ribosomal RNA". It matches the Rfam family "Bacterial small subunit ribosomal RNA", at positions 28 to 507 of the family's 1533-position model. The record is from RNAcentral.